This 567-nucleotide ribosomal RNA is filed under the name uncultured Glomeromycotina. RNAcentral describes it as "SSU rRNA". It matches the Rfam family "Eukaryotic small subunit ribosomal RNA", at positions 548 to 1114 of the family's 1831-position model. The record is from RNAcentral. Lineage: Eukaryota; Fungi; Glomeromycota.
UUGGAGGGCAAGUCUGGUGCCAGCAGCCGCGGUAAUUCCAGCUCCAAUAGCGUAUAUUAAAGUUGUUGCAGUUAAAAAGCUCGUAGUUGAAUUUCGGAGUUUGUCGGUUGGUCGGGCUUCACUGUCCGCACUGGCCUGAUGGGUUCCUACCUUCUGAAUAACCAGCAUGCUAUUAAGUUAGUGCGUUGGGGAAGCAGAGCUAUUACCUUGAAAAAAUUAGAGUGCUUAAAGCAGGCUUAUGCUUGAAUAGAUUAGCAUAGAAUAAUAAAAUAGGACGGCAUGGUUCUAUUUUGUUGGUUUCUAGGAUCACCGUAAUGAUUAAUAGGGAUAGUUGGGGGCAUUAGUAUUCAAUUGUCAGAGGUGAAAUUCUUGGAUUUAUUGAAGACUAACUUCUGCGAAAGCAUUUGCCAAGGAUGUUUUCAUUAAUCAAGAACGAAAGUUAGGGGAUCGAAGACGAUCAGAUACCGUCGUAGUCUUAACCAUAAACUAUGCCGACUAGGGAUCGGACGAUGUUAAUUUUUUAAUGACUCGUUCGGCGCCUUACGGGAAACCAAAGUGUUUGGGUUC